Podarcis lilfordi (Lilford's wall lizard) is the source of this 67-nucleotide non-coding RNA. The record is from the annotation of a GenBank genome assembly. Lineage: Eukaryota; Metazoa; Chordata; Lepidosauria; Squamata; Lacertidae.
GCAUCUCAGUCAGUAGAGCAUGAGACUCUUAAUCUCAGGGUUGUGGGUUCGAGCCCUACAUUGGACA